AGCGGCGGACGGGUGAGUAACACGUGGAUAACCUACCUAUAAGACUGGGAUAACUUCGGGAAACCGGAGCUAAUACCGGAUAAGAUUUUGAACCGCAUGGUUCAAUAGUGAAAGACGGCCUUGCUGUCACUUAUAGAUGGAUCCGCGCCGUAUUAGCUAGUUGGUAAGGUAACGGCUUACCAAGGCAACGAUACGUAGCCGACCUGAGAGGGUGAUCGGCCACACUGGAACUGAGACACGGUCCAGACUCCUACGGGAGGCAGCAGUAGGGAAUCUUCCGCAAUGGGCGAAAGCCUGACGGAGCAACGCCGCGUGAGUGAUGAAGGUCUUCGGAUCGUAAAACUCUGUUAUCAGGGGAGAACAAACGUGUAAGUAACUGUGCACGUCUUGACGGUACCUGAUCAGAAAGCCACGGCUAACUACGUGCCAGCAGCCGCGGUAAUACGUAGGUGGCAAGCGUUAUCCGGAAUUAUUGGGCGUAAAGCGCGCGUAGGCGGUUUUUUAAGUCUGAUGUGAAAGCCCACGGCUCAACCGUGGAGGGUCAUUGGAAACUGGAAAACUUGAGUGCAGAAGAGGAAAGUGGAAUUCCAUGUGUAGCGGUGAAAUGCGCAGAGAUAAGGAGGAACACCAGUGGCGAAGGCGACUUUCUGGUCUGUAACUGACGCUGAUGCGCGAAAGCGUGGGGGAUCAAACAGGAUUAGAUACCCUGGUAGUCACGCCGUAAACGAUGAGUGCUAAGUGU
Molecule: ribosomal RNA, 742 nt
Filed under: uncultured bacterium
Lineage: Bacteria
Description: bacterial SSU rRNA
Rfam family: Bacterial small subunit ribosomal RNA
Source: RNAcentral